RNAcentral lists this long non-coding RNA (879 nucleotides) under Olea europaea subsp. europaea. The record is from RNAcentral. Lineage: Eukaryota; Viridiplantae; Streptophyta; Magnoliopsida; Lamiales; Oleaceae.
CUAAAAAUGUUUUUGAUUUGAAUUGAAUUUCGAUAAUAUGGUUUUAAUAAUUCAUUGUAAUAAGCGAGCCCGAAAAUUUGUUUUAAUGUACACUUGGCUUGGUUUACGAGUGAACAGACUCUUAGCGAAAUCGAGAUUGAAUAAUUAAUAAAUAGUCCUCAAAAUUCGAGUUUAACUAUUGAUUUUAAGCAGCGAACUUGUGAACUCAAGGUAAUGAUUAUAAUACUGAAAUUUUUAAGUUCAAUCUACGCAUUAAUGAUAAUGCGUGAUCAGAUGAAAAGAUUCAUUUAUAAUUGCAUCCGUCACAGACAUUUUUUAAUGUGCAUAUAUUUCUAUGUGCGUGGUAAACACACAUGAUCUGAACAAUGUACAUGAAUGAUACUUUUUGUAUUCAGAGGUUAGGAUUACUUUGUUUUUGAAGGAUCGAGAUUAAUCUUUUUGGGAUCCAACGACUAGGAUAUAUUUUCAAAAAUUAUGUAUAUGGUGCCACUGUCAUUUGUUGUAGUUUCUUUCUAAGGCACUAAGAAUGUCUUUAUUAUCGAGUCUUUGAAAAACUUUCUCACAUAAUGUUUUGCAAUGUAAUUCUCGAAAUAGGUUUGUUAGUGCUAGGGCUUUAUUUAGAGAUGAUGAUGUUUUAUCAUUAUCAUCUUUGCCGAAUCCAUUAUGCUUUCCUAGAAUGCCUCUGCUAAUCAUUCUGAUAUCUGGGAAAUAUAUGAUUCAUCGAGGCUUUGGGAUUGUGAUGAUUCUCUCUUCGUAGUGGCGUGAGUAGAUAGCCAAGAUUGAAAAACAAGCAAAAGAGGCUAACCAAUUGGUAGCAAUUACAUUUGCCAUGUGUCUCACGGCACGUGUUUGAAAAAUGGAAAUUGAUUAAGAUGUGAC